RNAcentral lists this long non-coding RNA (360 nucleotides) under Gallus gallus (chicken). RNAcentral's name for it is "lncRNA (ENSGALG00010006007.1)". The record is from RNAcentral. Lineage: Eukaryota; Metazoa; Chordata; Aves; Galliformes; Phasianidae.
GUGGGAUUAGGGCCUAAGUGUGGGGUUGGGGCCUGUGCUUGGGCUGGGGCAUGGAGCAGCCCUGGCCUUGCUCAAGGAAUUGCCCAGGAGUUGUAUGUAGGCCUGGCCUGAGGCUCUGGGCUGCUGGUGGGCAACUCCAGGGCCUCUGGUGUCCCCCCAAAGCCCCCACCCUAACACAUUCCACCUCUCCUGUGCUCCCUUCCACCUCACCACCUCAUUUUCCCCACUUCUCAGGAGCAUCCAACCCCUGAGAAGAAAGUCUGACAGCAUCCAAAGCAGCUUCCAGCUUCCCCAAGUGUUCACCGCGGCGUGGUGGUGAGGCACCAUGUUUGUUGCCAAAGGCGCCUGGACAUUGGUGGC